AUGGCCUCCUCGUCGCUGGACACGGAGGCGGGAGCCGGAGCGCAGCACAAGGCCGGCGGCGACGGCAGCGGGUACACCACCGCGGCCACCGCCCACGCGGUAGACACAGAUUCAUGGCAGCAGGUUGGGCUGCUGCUGGUGACGGGGUUCAACUGCGCCUACGUGCUCAGCUUCUCCAACCUGAUGAUGGUGCCGCUGGGGUGGGGGUGGGGCGCCGCCUGCCUGCUGCUCCUCGCCGCCGCCGCCUGGUACGCCAACUGGCUCCUCGCCGGCCUCCACGUCGUCGACGGCCAGAGGUUCAUCCGCUACAGGGACCUCAUGGGCUUCGUCUUCGGGAGGAAAAUGUACUACCUCACCUGGUUCCUGCAGUUCACCACCCUGCUCCUGGGAAGCAUGGGCUUCAUUCUGCUCGGCGGAAGAGCACUCAAGGCGAUCAGCGCGGAGUUCACCCAGACGCCUCCGCGGCUGCAGUGGUUCAUCGCCGCGACGGGGUUCGUCUACUUCGCCUUCGCCUACUUCGUGCCCACCAUCUCCGCCAUGAGGAACUGGCUGGCCACCUCCGCCGCGCUCACCGUCACCUUCGACGUGGCGCUGCUGGCCGUCCUCGUCAGAGACGGCCGGUCGAACGAUCGGAGCGGGAGGGACUACAGCAUCCACGGGACGGGGGCGGAGAAGGCGUUCAACGCGCUGGGGGCCGUGGCGGCGAUCCUGGUGUGCAACACCUCGGGCCUGCUCCCGGAGAUCCAGUCGACGCUGCGUAAGCCGGCGGUGGGCAACAUGCGGCGGGCGCUGGCGCUGCAGUACACGGUGGGCGCCGCGGGGUACUACGGGAUCAGCGUGGCCGGGUACUGGGCGUACGGCGCCGCCGCGUCCGAGUACCUCCCCAACCAGCUCUCCGGCCCGCGCUGGGCCUCCGUGCUCAUCAACGCCACCGCCUUCCUCCAGAGCAUCGUCUCGCAGCACCUGUUCACGGUGCCGAUCCACGAGGGCAUGGACACGGGGCUGCAGCGGCUGGAGGAGGGCAUGUUCUCGCGCUACAACAUGACGCGCAGGCUCUUCGCCAGGGGGCUGCUCUUCGGGGUCAACGUCUUCGUCACCGCGCUCUUCCCAUUCAUGGGCGACUUCGUCAACCUCUUCGGCUCCUUCGCGCUCUUCCCGCUCACCUUCAUGUUCCCCAGCAUGAUCGUCCUCAAGAUCAAAGGGGAGUGCGACGGGAGAUGGGGCAGGCUCUGGCACUGGGGCAUCAUCGUCGUCUCCUCCGCCGUCGGCCUCGCCACCUCCGCCGCCGCCGUCAGACUCAUCCUGCACAACGCCAGCGUCUACCGCUUCUUCGCCGACACCUAG
Molecule: ribosomal RNA, 1344 nt
Filed under: Triticum aestivum (bread wheat)
Lineage: Eukaryota; Viridiplantae; Streptophyta; Magnoliopsida; Poales; Poaceae
Description: partial small subunit ribosomal RNA
Source: RNAcentral